This is an RNA transcript of Macadamia integrifolia, 1149 nucleotides long. RefSeq lists it as uncharacterized. The record is from RefSeq and is a predicted model, not a curated record. NCBI's taxonomy places the organism in Eukaryota, Viridiplantae, Streptophyta, Magnoliopsida, Proteales, Proteaceae. The transcript is spliced from 3 exons.
ACCAAGAGCUUCUCCUUCUUCUACCCAUCUGAGACAUUCGAACGGAGAAGCCGACGCCGAUGAUCGCAGGCAACCUAGGUAAAAUCCUCAACUGCCGAUCUCUUCUCUUCCAUUCGCUUCUCUCCUAAACUGCCGAGAUCGAGAUCUUCUACCCAUCUACAGAGGCGUGGUUUUGCUUCAAAGAGGAGAAGGAGGUGCGGAGGUGCAGUCGUGCCGAAACCGAGAACUUCUACCUGUGGUCAGUGCUCUGGUUUUGCUUCACAGAGGUAAAACCCCCUUGAAGACAUGGAAAAAAACACCUUAAAACUCAGGUAUGAAAGACAUGACGCUUUAUUCACUACUUUUUUUUUUUUUUUUUUUUUAAUGAGAGACAUGGCGCCCCAUUCCCAUUUCUGGCAACCCUUCUUCGUCCCCAAUCCCCCAAGAGUCCUCCACCACCGCUGAAAGAAUGAAAGAAAAUCUCCUAAUCCCAAAAUUUCUAAAGUUCUAAGACCAGACCAGAGAAUCUUCUAUGUCUGCAUCACUGCUCGGCUCUCGAAUCAUUCCGGAAACAACCAACAAUUGCAGGUGCCAUCACCGCAAGGGCUACAACAGCAAAACCAUAAUGUGCGCCUGCAUCGACAACUCCUGCUACGAUUCUGAUUGGACCCAGGGAUGAUGUGACGUGGUUGAAGGCGCGAGAAGAAGCUCAGCGCGAUAUGGAGCAAGAACCCAUCUUUUUCCAGUUUGGGAGAGAAGAGAUCGGAAGAGAAGAGUUGCAGGAUAUGUUAGAGGAGAAAUCUCAGAUGGGUAAGGAUGUGGCGCUCGGGUAUGGGUUAAUAGUGAAGAUGGGUGAUUUUUUCUGGGCAAAGGAUGAUAGCCGUUGGAUCCGUUAUGAUAAUGUGUCAAAUGCUCAACCUGGUCAAGAGAUGGGCGAUUGAGCCGGAUACCACCCGUAUCCAGAACAGGCAUUUGUUACUUCAUGCUAGAAAGAACUUUAAUGGUUGUAUAGAAACGUAUAACCUUAUAGUGAAAAGAGCUUCGUUAGAUGGGAACAAAAAAAAAUUAGAAGGAAAGGAAGAUUUAGUGCUAAAAAUGUAGAAUGUAUAGAAUAACAUUAAAACUCAGUACAAAAGACGAAAAAAACUUUUAUAAUGGUGGAGGAUAUAA